Theropithecus gelada (gelada) is the source of this 96-nucleotide unclassified non-coding RNA. It matches the Rfam family "Y RNA". From Rfam's summary of the family: Y RNAs are components of the Ro ribonucleoprotein particle (Ro RNP), in association with Ro60 and La proteins. The Y RNAs and Ro60 and La proteins are well conserved, but the function of the Ro RNP is not known. In humans the RNA component can be one of four small RNAs -- hY1, hY3, hY4 and hY5. The record is from Ensembl. NCBI's taxonomy places the organism in Eukaryota, Metazoa, Chordata, Mammalia, Primates, Cercopithecidae.
GGCUGGUCUGAUGGUAGUGUAUUAUCAGAACUUAUUAACAUUGGUGUCACUAAAGUUAAUAUACAACCCCCAACUGCUAAAUUUGACUGGCUUAAA